GUACACGCUGUGACUAGCAUAUCAAUAAGCGGAGGAAAAGAAACUAACAAGGAUUCCCCUAGUAACGGCGAGUGAAGCGGGAAGAGCUCAAAUUUGAAAUCUUAAAGGGUUUCCCUUUACGAAUUGUAGUUUAAAGAAGUGUUUUCUGUUGAGGUUUUGGUAAAAGUUCUUUGGAAUAGGACAUCAUAGAGGGUGAGAAUCCCGUAUUUGACCUUUACUUUCAACUUUGUGAUACACUUUCAAAGAGUCGGAUUGUUUGGGAAUGCAGUCCAAAAUGGGUGGUAAAUUUCAUCUAAAGCUAAAUAUUGGCGAGAGACCGAUAGCGAACAAGUACCGUGAGGGAAAGAUGAAAAGAACUUUGAAAAGAGAGUUAAACAGUACGUGAAAUUGUCAAAAGGGAAGCGUUUGACACCAGUGUUGUUUUUCUGAAAAUCAAUUAAAGAACUGUUUAUGCUAAGUUGUUUAGACUUUAUCAGCUAACUGUUUAGUUUUGAGCUGUUCUUUAAUGCACUUUUCAGUUAACAAGUCAACAUCAAUUUCUUUUGCUGUAAAAAAGCUUGAGGAAGGUGGCUUGAGAUUCGUCUUAAGUGUUUAUAGCCUCUUGCCUAUGCAGUCGGAGAGAUUGAGGUCUGCAGCGUAGAUCCUUCGGGGCUAAAUGCAUUUGUGCUAAGUUAUAGCAUUUUAUAGACAACUUGUUGACUAUGAUUUGUCUUGUAGCUUACUCGCUUAUGUUAUUUUACCUACGCUUAGGAUGUUGACUGAUAUGUAGUCGUA
RNAcentral lists this ribosomal RNA (774 nucleotides) under uncultured Neocallimastigales. RNAcentral's name for it is "partial large subunit ribosomal RNA". It matches the Rfam family "Eukaryotic large subunit ribosomal RNA", at positions 22 to 644 of the family's 3401-position model. Lineage: Eukaryota; Fungi; Neocallimastigomycota; Neocallimastigomycetes; Neocallimastigales. The record is from RNAcentral.